AUUGAACGCUGGCGGCAGGCCUAACACAUGCAAGUCGAGCGGAUGAGUGGAGCUUGCUCCAUGAUUCAGCGGCGGACGGGUGAGUAAUGCCUAGGAAUCUGCCUAUUAGUGGGGGACAACGUUUCGAAAGGAACGCUAAUACCGCAUACGUCCUACGGGAGAAAGCAGGGGACCUCCGGGCCUUGCGCUAAUAGAUGAGCCUAGGUCGGAUUAGCUAGUUGGUGAGGUAAUGGCUCACCAAGGCGACGAUCCGUAACUGGUCUGAGAGGAUGAUCAGUCACACUGGAACUGAGACACGGUCCAGACUCCUACGGGAGGCAGCAGUGGGGAAUAUUGGACAAUGGGCGAAAGCCUGAUCCAGCCAUGCCGCGUGUGUGAAGAAGGUCUUCGGAUUGUAAAGCACUUUAAGUUGGGAGGAAGGGUUGUACGUUAAUACCGUGCAAUUUUGACGUUACCGACAGAAUAAGCACCGGCUAACUCUGUGCCAGCAGCCGCGGUAA
This 500-nucleotide ribosomal RNA is filed under the name uncultured bacterium. Its description in RNAcentral is "partial 16S ribosomal RNA". It matches the Rfam family "Bacterial small subunit ribosomal RNA", at positions 30 to 523 of the family's 1533-position model. The record is from RNAcentral.